GGAGUUUUCGGCAAUGGGGGAAACCCUGACCGAGCAACGCCGCGUGAGUGAUGACGGCCCUAUGGGUUGUAAAGCUCUGUUGUAAGGGACGAAUGAUUCGCUUAGGAAAUGAAGCGAGUUUGACGGUACCUUACCAGAAAGCCACGGCUAACUACGUGCCAGCAGCCGCGGUAAUACGUAGGUGGCAAGCGUUAUCCGGAAUUAUUGGGCGUAAAGAGGGAGCAGGCGGCAAGAUAAGUUUGAAGUGAAAGCGUGGAGCUCAACUCCAUACAGCUUCGAAAACUGUCUAGCUAGAGUACGAGAGAAGUGAACGGAACUCCAUGUGUAGCGGUGAAAUGCGUAGAUAUAUGGAAGAACACCAGUGGCGAAGGCGGUUCACUAGCUCGAAACUGACGCUCAGUCCCGAAAGCGUGGGUAGCAAAUA
Molecule: ribosomal RNA, 424 nt
Filed under: uncultured bacterium
Lineage: Bacteria
Description: bacterial SSU rRNA
Rfam family: Bacterial small subunit ribosomal RNA
Source: RNAcentral